CUUAGAGAGCUUGCUUUCUUAGCUUAGUGGCGAACGGGUGAGUAACGCGUGAGCAACCUGCCUUUCAGUGGGGGACAACAGUUGGAAACGACUGCUAAUACCGCAUAACAUUCCGAUGGGGCAUCCUGUUGGAAUCAAAGAUUUAUUGCUGAAAGAUGGGCUCGCGUCUGAUUAGCUAGUUGGUGGGGUAACGGCCCACCAAGGCGACGAUCAGUAGCCGGACUGAGAGGUUGAACGGCCACAUUGGGACUGAGAUACGGCCCAGACUCC
RNAcentral lists this ribosomal RNA (270 nucleotides) under uncultured Oscillospiraceae bacterium. RNAcentral's name for it is "partial 16S ribosomal RNA". It matches the Rfam family "Bacterial small subunit ribosomal RNA", at positions 70 to 339 of the family's 1533-position model. Lineage: Bacteria; Bacillati; Bacillota; Clostridia; Eubacteriales; Oscillospiraceae. The record is from RNAcentral.